This is a small nucleolar RNA of Nannospalax galili (Upper Galilee mountains blind mole rat), 127 nucleotides long. The record is from Ensembl. NCBI's taxonomy places the organism in Eukaryota, Metazoa, Chordata, Mammalia, Rodentia, Spalacidae.
GUUUGUUGAAAAUCAUCCCUGGCCUUGGUCAUGGCCUGGAUUGAGAUUCAGCAUCCAGAACUACCAGGGUCCUCAGUUUCCUCCAACAGCCACAUUGUGGGAGGGUGAAACCCAGGCAUCUUUGUGC